Molecule: non-coding RNA, 45 nt
Filed under: Schistosoma haematobium
Lineage: Eukaryota; Metazoa; Platyhelminthes; Trematoda; Strigeidida; Schistosomatidae
Source: RNAcentral
GUCCGGCUGAAGAGUCCCAGAUGGGACGAAAAAUGCGUCCUGGAU